CCCCAUAGGUCACCUAUGCUGGAAUGCUUGGUGACUGAAAGUUCCGGCGGCACAGGAUGUUUCUGCGGCCUAUCAGGUAGUAGUCAGGGUAAUGACCUGACUAGCCUACGACGGGUACGGGCGUUGAGAGACGUUGCCCGGAGAUGGACUCUGAGACACGAGUCCAGGCCCUACGGGGCGCAGCAGGCGCGAAAACUUCGCAAUGUGGGAAACCACGACGAGGGAACUCCAAGUGCCAGCACACAGUGUUGGCUGUUUUCAAGCCUAAAAAGCUUGAAGAGUAAGGGCUGGGUAAGACGGGUGCCAGCCGCCGCGGUAAUACCUGCAGCUCGAGUGGUGGUCGCUUUUAUUGGGCCUAAAACGUCCGUAGCCUGUCAUGUAAAUGCUUGGGUAAAUCGAAGGGCUUAACUCUUCGAAUUCCGGGUAGACUGCAUGACUAGGGACCGGGAGAGGUUAGAGGUACUCCGGGGGUAGAGGUGAAAUUCUGUAAUCCUCGGGGGACCACCAGUGGCGAAGGCGUCUAACUAGAACGGGUCCGACGGUGAGGGACGAAGCCCUGGGGCGCAAACGGGAUUAGAUACCCCGGUAGUCCAGGGUGUAAACGCUGCGCGCUUGGUGUUGGGGCGGCCACGAGCCGGCCCAGUGCCGGAGAGAAGUUGUUAAGCGCGCUGCCUGGGGAGUACGGUCGCAAGACUGAAACUUAAAGGAAUUGGCGGGGGGAGCACUGCAACGGGUGGAGCGUGCGGUUUAAUUGGAUUCAACGCCGGAAAACUCACCAGGAGCGACUACCGCAUGAGACUCAGCUGAUGGUCUUAGUCGAUAAUCAGUAGAGAGGUGGUGCAUGGCCGUCGUCAGUUCGUACCGUAAAGGCGUUCUGUUAAG
RNAcentral lists this ribosomal RNA (882 nucleotides) under uncultured archaeon. Its description in RNAcentral is "bacterial SSU rRNA". It matches the Rfam family "Archaeal small subunit ribosomal RNA", at positions 152 to 1033 of the family's 1478-position model. The record is from RNAcentral.